Long non-coding RNA from Papaver somniferum (opium poppy), 852 nucleotides. RefSeq lists it as uncharacterized. Lineage: Eukaryota; Viridiplantae; Streptophyta; Magnoliopsida; Ranunculales; Papaveraceae. The record is from RefSeq and is a predicted model, not a curated record. The transcript is spliced from 2 exons.
UUGUUGGUGGGGUUAGGUGAUGAACAAAUCAGAUUUGGUCUUAUUAUUCAUACAGAGCGGAUGAUGUUGAAAAUAUAAAGAAACCAGGAGGUUUUGGGUUUUCAACUUUUCAUUCCAGAAAAACAACAAGAAGAAAGAAAAAGAGAGAUUGAACCUAUUUUCUUUCCUGAAAAUUCUCACGAUUUGAAAGAAAUUCUCGCAGAAUCCGUUAAGGACAGAGAGUAUCGUCAUUGUAUGGAUACCAAUUCACCGUGCAAGGUGGUGUCAUCCAAGGAGCUGACUAGGGAGUCGCUUAUUGCCAUCUCCGAGUCCAUUCCUGAUCAGACCGAGUCCAUUCUUGAUCAGAGUCUGCCGACUAGGGAGUCACUUAUUGCCAUUUCUGACUCCAUUCCUGAAAACGGUUUCGCCUCGAAAAUUUCAUCUGAAGACUUCGCAAGACCUAAAAUUUCAUCAGAAGACUUCACGAGACCUAAUGGGAUUGUCGUGAAAGACGGUGAUGGGGCUGAUGGUUAUAGGUCUAAGCUGAUUUCAUUAUCUUACACACCGUCACCAGAUAGUUAAGGUUUUCCUGUUAUAGUUGGUCACAUUGAAGAUUAGCCACUUGAACUAACUCAUAAUCUACGUUGUUAUCAUGCUUGAACCGUUUAGGCAUACACUUGAUGUUUGGUUAUAAAGCUGGUCUUGGUGUAAACAAAGACAUAAAAAUAAAACUAAUCUACAAAUGUAUAGAUGUAUGAUCUUCUAUAGGACUUCCUUAGUAGAAAAUACAUCAGAUUUGUUUAACUACGAUCGAUUACUUUCCUUUGUUUGUAGCCUUUCAUGGAUGUUAAGCCUUUUCAAAUUUCUGGGUGA